This 63-nucleotide transfer RNA is filed under the name Ninus insignis. RNAcentral describes it as "tRNA-His". The record is from RNAcentral. Lineage: Eukaryota; Metazoa; Arthropoda; Insecta; Hemiptera; Ninidae.
ACCUAGGUAGUUUAAGUAAAGAAUAAUAAUUUGUGAUAUUAUAGGUAUUUUUAAUCUUAGGUU